GAUGAACGCUGGCGGCGUGCCUAAUACAUGCAAGUCGAGCGAACAGACGAGGAGCUUGCUCCUCUGACGUUAGCGGCGGACGGGUGAGUAACACGUGGAUAACCUACCUAUAAGACUGGGAUAACUUCGGGAAACCGGAGCUAAUACCGGAUAAUAUAUUGAACCGCAUGGUUCAAUAGUGAAAGACGGCUUUGCUGUCACUUAUAGAUGGAUCCGCGCCGCAUUAGCUAGUUGGUAAGGUAACGGCUUACCAAGGCAACGAUGCGUAGCCGACCUGAGAGGGUGAUCGGCCACACUGGAACUGAGACACGGUCCAGACUCCUACGGGAGGCAGCAGUAGGGAAUCUUCCGCAAUGGGCGAAAGCCUGACGGAGCAACGCCGCGUGAGUGAUGAAGGUCUUCGGAUCGUAAAACGCUGUUAUUAGGGAAGAACAAAUGUGUAAGUAACUAUGCACGUCUGGACGGUACCUAAUCAGAAAGCCACGGCGAACUACGU
Molecule: ribosomal RNA, 496 nt
Filed under: uncultured bacterium
Lineage: Bacteria
Description: partial 16S ribosomal RNA
Rfam family: Bacterial small subunit ribosomal RNA
Source: RNAcentral